AUAACACCAUCUACCUACCUUGUGAGAGAAAGUAACAGUGUGCAAUAAAGAAGGAUGUUAAAACAGAGUCGAGAUAGGGGAAUAAUGUUUAAUUGGCUCUCCAGAGUCUACUAAUUUUCAGAAUUGGAAACCUAGUGUUUGAUUUGUUCUUUUUAGUCAGUGAGAAGAAAAACAUCCUUCAUAAAUUCUGAAUGACAAAUUUGCCCAUCCUUUUUUGCAUGUGGUUCCAGCAUCCCAGGGAUUCUAAAGUGUCAUUUCCUCUUUGGAAGAAAGGGAGCACAAAACAUACUAGUUCACUGGAAAUGACUCUGAAAGAGGCAUUAUGAUCAAGAAUAGAUUGGCCAAGCUGCUGUUGACUCUGUUUUCAUCUGGGACAUUCAUCUCUAGCUUCAGAAAAAAAUAUUCUCUAGCUUUAGAAAGAGAUCCCCUUAGCUCCUCCUGGUUGAGUACAAAGGAAAGAUGGUGCCAUCAUCAAUAGUGUGCUCAGAUCUCAUAUACAAGAUUGUGGAAUUUACUUCAGAAGAGAAAAAUGUGGAGGAAUAUUCAUCAGACCUGGUGGAUCCCUGAUACAAGCUCAAAAUGUCUGCUACUAACAGCAUGGUCAGUAUACAAGAGAUCACAACCUGCUUCUUGACUAAGAGAGUAAUAUUCAUAUUUGGACCAUAGUAUAAAUCCUCUACUCCAUCCAGAACAAAUGGUAAACAUCUUUUUAAAAGCUGAUGAGAAGGAGGAGGAAUAGGG
Sarcophilus harrisii (Tasmanian devil) is the source of this 741-nucleotide long non-coding RNA. RefSeq lists it as uncharacterized. The record is from RefSeq and is a predicted model, not a curated record. The transcript is spliced from 3 exons. NCBI's taxonomy places the organism in Eukaryota, Metazoa, Chordata, Mammalia, Dasyuromorphia, Dasyuridae.